AUAGGGGAGCCGUAGGGAAACCGAGUCUUAACCGGGCGUUAAGUUGCAGGGUAUAGACCCGAAACCCGGUGAUCUAGCCAUGGGCAGGUUGAAGGUUGGGUAACACUAACUGGAGGACCGAACCGACUAAUGUUGAAAAAUUAGCGGAUGACUUGUGGCUGGGGGUGAAAGGCCAAUCAAACCGGGAGAUAGCUGGUUCUCCCCGAAAGCUAUUUAGGUAGCGCCUCGUGAAUUCAUCUUCGGGGGUAGAGCACUGUUUCGGCUAGGGGGUCAUCCCGACUUACCAACCCGAUGCAAACUGCGAAUACCGGAGAAUGUUAUCACGGGAGACACACGGCGGGUGCUAACGUCCGUCGUGAAGAGGGAAACAACCCAGACCGCCAGCUAAGGUCCCAAAGUCAUGGUUAAGUGGGAAACGAUGUGGGAAGGCCCAGACAGCCAGGAUGUUGGCUUAGAAGCAGCCAUCAUUUAAAGAAAGCGUAAUAGCUCACUGGUCGAGUCGGCCUGCGCGGAAGAUGUAACGGGGCUAAACCAUGCACCGAAGCUGCGGCAGCGACACUGUGUGUUGUUGGGUAGGGGAGCGUUCUGUAAGCCUGCGAAGGUGGCCUGUGAGGGUUGCUGGAGGUAUCAGAAGUGCGAAUGCUGACAUAAGUAACGAUAAAGCGGGUGAAAAGCCCGCUCGCCGGAAGACCAAGGGUUCCUGUCCAACGUUAAUCGGGGCAGGGUGAGUCGACCCCUAAGGCGAGGCCGAAAGGCGUAGUCGAUGGGAAACAGGUUAAUAUUCCUGUACUUGGUGUUACUGCGAAGGGGGGACGGAGAAGGCUAUGUUGGCCGGGCGACGGUUGUCCCGGUUUAAGCGUGUAGGUGUGUGUUCCAGGUAAAUCCGGUUCACUUUAACACUGAGGCGUGAUGACGAGGCACUACGGUGCUGAAGCAACAAAUGCCCUGCUUCCAGGAAAAGCCUCUAAGCAUCAGGUAACAUCAAAUCGUACCCCAAACCGACACAGGUGGUCAGGUAGAGAAUACCAAGGCGCUUGAGAGAACUCGGGUGAAGGAACUAGGCAAAAUGGUGCCGUAACUUCGGGAGAAGGCACGCUGACA
RNAcentral lists this ribosomal RNA (1101 nucleotides) under Salmonella enterica. Its description in RNAcentral is "partial 23S ribosomal RNA". It matches the Rfam family "Bacterial large subunit ribosomal RNA", at positions 657 to 1756 of the family's 2925-position model. RNAcentral also lists the same sequence under 1 other name. The record is from RNAcentral. Lineage: Bacteria; Pseudomonadati; Pseudomonadota; Gammaproteobacteria; Enterobacterales; Enterobacteriaceae.